Non-coding RNA from Pelobates cultripes (western spadefoot toad), 79 nucleotides. NCBI's taxonomy places the organism in Eukaryota, Metazoa, Chordata, Amphibia, Anura, Pelobatidae. The record is from the annotation of a GenBank genome assembly.
GGAGUGCAGGUAGAAAUAUGUAUAUAGUAUACUUAUAUACUCUAUAAGUAUACUAUAUACAUAUUUCUACCUGCACUCC